UACGUAGGGUGCGAGCGUUGUCCGGAAUUAUUGGGCGUAAAGGGCUCGUAGGCGGUCUGUCACGUCGAAAGUGAAAACUCAGGGCUCAACCCUGAGCCUGCUUCCGAUACGGGCAGACUAGAGGUAUGCAGGGGAGAAUGGAAUUCCUGGUGUAGCGGUGAAAUGCGCAGAUAUCAGGAGGAACACCAAUGGCGAAGGCAGCUCGCUGGGACGGUACUGACGCUGAGACGCGAAAGCGUGGGGAGCAAACAGG
RNAcentral lists this ribosomal RNA (253 nucleotides) under uncultured bacterium. RNAcentral describes it as "partial 16S ribosomal RNA". It matches the Rfam family "Bacterial small subunit ribosomal RNA", at positions 524 to 776 of the family's 1533-position model. The record is from RNAcentral.